CGCUUCCCCCUCUUCUCCCUCCUCAAUGGGCCCCGUAGUCCUGCGCGCACCGCCGCCGCGCGCGGAUGAGAAUGAGGUGGUAACGGGCUCCCGGAUGACCUCGCGUCACCACUGUGAGGCCUACAGCUCAGCCGGGGAGGAGGAGGAGGAAGAGGAGGAGAAGUAGCUACAUCAAGCUGGCUAGCAGGCAGAUCCAAAGGAUAUCAUGAAGUUUCCAGGGCCUUUGGAAAACCAGAGAUUGUCUUUCCUGUUGGAAAAGGCAAUCACUAGGGAAGCGCAGAUGUGGAAAGUGAAUGUGCGAAAAAUGCCUUCAAAUCAGAAUAUUUCUCCAUCCCAGAGAGAUGAAGUAAUUCAAUGGCUGGCCAAACUCAAGUACCAAUUCAACCUUUACCCAGAAACAUUUGCUCUGGCUGGCAGUCUUUUGGACAGGUUUUUAGCUACCGUAAAGGCUCAUCCGAUAUACUUGAGUUGUAUUGCAAUCAGCUGUUUUUUCCUAGCUGCCAAGACUGUUGAGGAAGAUGAGAGAAUUCCAGUACUAAAGGUAUUGGCAAGAGACAGUUUCUGUGGAUGUUCCUCAUCUGAAAUUUUGAUAAUGGAGAGAAUUAUUCUGGAUAAGUUGAAUUGGGAUCUUCACACAGCCACACCAUUGGAUUGUCUUCAUAUUUUCCAUGCUAUUGCGGUGUCAACUAGGCCUCAGUUACUUUUCAGUUUGCCCAAAUUGAGCCCAUCUCAACAUUUGGCAGUCCUUACCAAGCAACUACUUCACUGUAUGGCCUGCAACCAACUUCUGCAAUUCAGAGGAUCCAUGCUUGCUCUGGCCAUGGUUAGUCUGGAAAUGGAGAAACUUAUUCCUGAUUGGCUUUCUCUUACAAUUGAACUGCUUCAGAAAGCACAGGUAGGUGUCAGUCUAAUUAAAUAGUGUUCUUUUUAAGUUUUUCUAUUAUUGGAAUACAUAGAGUUACCAAACUGAAAGACAUUUCUAAUGUUGUAAUGGCAAACCAUUCUUCAGAGAAGAGUAAAGUAUGUAUUUUAAAUUUACAGGCUAGAUGUUCUCUUGUUUUCUUAUAAAACUUAUAUAG
RNA transcript from Cercocebus atys (sooty mangabey), 1079 nucleotides. It is a transcript of the gene named cyclin-I pseudogene, with no coding region annotated. The transcript has a single exon. Lineage: Eukaryota; Metazoa; Chordata; Mammalia; Primates; Cercopithecidae. The record is from RefSeq and is a predicted model, not a curated record.